RNAcentral lists this ribosomal RNA (200 nucleotides) under uncultured Glomus. RNAcentral describes it as "partial small subunit ribosomal RNA". It matches the Rfam family "Eukaryotic small subunit ribosomal RNA", at positions 591 to 792 of the family's 1831-position model. The record is from RNAcentral. Lineage: Eukaryota; Fungi; Glomeromycota; Glomeromycetes; Glomerales; Glomeraceae. RNAcentral also lists the same sequence under 1 other name.
CCAAUAGCGUAUAUUAAAGUUGUUGCAGUUAAAAAGCUCGUAGUUGAACUUCGGGGUCUACCCAUUGGUCAGGCUUAAUUGUCUGCACUGGUGAGAUGGAUCUCUACCUUCUGAGGAACUUUCAUGCCAUUUAUUUGGUGUGAUGGGAAAUCAGGACUGUUACUUUGAAAAAAUUAGAGUGUUUAAAGCAGACUAUCGUC